RNAcentral lists this ribosomal RNA (459 nucleotides) under uncultured bacterium. RNAcentral's name for it is "partial 16S ribosomal RNA". It matches the Rfam family "Bacterial small subunit ribosomal RNA", at positions 338 to 795 of the family's 1533-position model. The record is from RNAcentral.
CCUACGGGGGGCAGCAGUGAGGAAUAUUGGUCAAUGGCCGCAGGGCUGAACCAGCCAAGUCGCGUGAGGGAUGACGGUCCUAUGGACUGUAAACCUCUUUUGACAGGGAGCAAAGGGCUCCACGUGUGGCGUUUUGCGAGUACCUGUAGCAAAAGAAUCGGCUAACUCUGUGUACGCAGCCGCGGUAAUACGGAGGAUGCGAGCGUUAUCCGGAUUUAUUGGGUUUAAAGGGUGCGCAGGCGGAAAGUCAAGUCAGCGGUAAAAGUUCGGGGCUCAACCUCGUCGUGCCGUUGAAACUGGCGUUCUUGAGUGAGCGAGAAGAAUGCGGAAUGCGUGGUGUAGCGGUGAAAUGCAUAGAUAUCACGCAGAACUCCGAUUGCGAAGGCAGCAUACCGGCGCUCAACUGACGCUCAUGCACGAAAGCGUGGGUAUCGAACAGGAUUAGAUACCCCAGUAGUC